Molecule: ribosomal RNA, 493 nt
Filed under: uncultured bacterium
Lineage: Bacteria
Description: partial 16S ribosomal RNA
Rfam family: Bacterial small subunit ribosomal RNA
Source: RNAcentral
GACGAACGCUGGCGGCGUGCCUAACACGUGCAAGUUGAGCGACGAACCAGGGCUUGCCCUGGGGCAAAGCAGCGAACGGGUGGGUAACACGUGGGUAACCUACCCCGAUAACCGGGACAACCCGAGGAAACUCGGGCUAAUACCGGAUGUGCUCACUGGACUUCGGUUCAGUGCGUAAAGGAAGCUUCGGCCUCCGUAUCGGGAGGGGCCCGCGGCCCAUUAGUUUGUUGGUGAGGUAACGGCUCACCAAGACCGCGAUGGGUAGCUGGUCUGAGAGGACGAUCAGCCACACUGGGACUGAGACACGGCCCAGACUCCUACGGGAGGCAGCAGUGGGGAAUCUUGCGCAAUGCGCGAAAGCGUGACGCAGCAACGCCGCGUGGGGGAAGAAGGCCUUCGGGUUGUAAACCCCUUUCAGGAGGGACGAAGGUGCGGCGGUGAAUAGCCGUCCGGACUGACGGUACCUCCACAAGAAGCCCCGGCUAACUACGUG